Molecule: ribosomal RNA, 3232 nt
Filed under: Triticum aestivum (bread wheat)
Lineage: Eukaryota; Viridiplantae; Streptophyta; Magnoliopsida; Poales; Poaceae
Description: partial small subunit ribosomal RNA
Source: RNAcentral
GGGGAGGGAGGGGGCAGGCGGUAACCAGCAGCGGUAAAAGGUUAGGGCGAUAAUUUGAGCAAGGGGAGGGUUGUUGGGCGUCUCGCGUCCGUCCGUGCGUAGAAGAUUGGGGCGGGAGACGGCGGCGACGACCGAAAGGAAGGACGCCCGCUCCUAGUAGGGACUAGGGUUGCCCCGAGCGAGGGGCGGAGGAGGGACGGACCUCCACUUUAUUCGUUUAUAAAAGGACUGCAGUUCAAACGAUGUCUGACCGGAAAGGAACCGACUUAGCCGUGUGUGAUGGUUGUACCUUUGUAUGUGGUGUCUACUACGCGAAUGUCGGUACCCUAAACCUUUUAACGUUCCUGAACAAGAACAAAUACGUCCGUACCCAACCCAACGUCUUCGGUACCUCCAGUACGAUGACAGGAAACAACCUGGUAACUAAGCCCUCCUUACCUUUUAGAGACGGGUUCUACUCUCAAAUGAGAGUUCACAUCACAAAAACCCGUACAAUUAACCUCGUACACCAACCCCUAUGCACAGACUGUUUAUACCCGCUUCCUGACCAAAUGACGAAAGUUGAGACAAAUGAUGACCUUACCCAAAGGAUUCACGAAACAGAGGUUUGAUAAAUACAAACUACCGAGAAGCGAAAGAGCAACCGCAUCCUAACCCACCGUCGGUACACAUAAGUAGAACCAAAAACCUCAAACAAGGACGCGUUUUAGCACCGAAAACCUACUAAUAAAAAAGGAAAAAAACCUGAUAACCGUGUCAGAACCUUCGAAGUGAACGUACCUAACAGCAUAGUUGUAACUGAACCUCCACCAACGAUCGUAACUGACGGUAGGGAACGAAAGAGAACGAGGGAAAGAAACCUUAAUGUGGACUUAGCGGUGCGAUAGACACACGCGUUUUAUCUUAUAGACUACGUUGUGAACAGGACCUCUCUUAGCGGCUCUGUUUGGUUCGUUGAGAAGGAGGACCUCAAGAGCAUAUGGGAGCUCUGCCACUUCAACUAGUAUCAUGAGAAUGGAGACUCCGUCUAGUAGAAGAAGGUGAGUCUCUCUUCCUGACGUGUCUACUACUACAGUAUUCGGGGUUUAGACCAUCACGACGACGUAACGCGUCAGAUGACAGUGCCUUUAACGCAUCUAGUUGAGAAGAUGAAACCAAACAAAAGAUGCGUUUAAGGAAACGAAUAAUACCUGAUCAGAACGACUGGCGCGUUGACUCGUUACGUUUAUCUUCGACGCGUAGACCCGACUUUAUACACUUCUCACUUUGUCUACGGUCGGAAAUGUUUCUAUGUAAACAGUGAUCAGAACGUCUCUAAGGCCCAGAUUAACGUAGACGAGAAGAACAACUUACCAAACCGGCUUUUCGAUGUUACACCACGAACGAGAAGUGUACGACACCAAAGGAACCGGGUGAACACAAAAUAGUCUCACUCGAUACCUGUUGACCGGAAGAUAAACCACGAGCACGAACACGGUACCCAUCGAUGUGUCAACAUACAAAUAUACGGGGUCUCCAAGCAUAGAAAAAGAGUACCGUACGUCAUUUACACAAAGAAGCACAGUGUCGUAUCACUCAAAUUACACAACUUUCAUGACGGACCAUCCGGAUAUUCAACGUUAAAGUUGUAAUAUAGGUAGCUAAACCGAUCCAUGAAUUUUACCAUAAAACAAAGGACUUAUAAAAUUUUUUUAAUACAGACGUAAUGUAAAGUACUACUUCUAUAUACAUUCAUUUGACCACGCUCAUACUGGAUUUGCUUAUUUUGUAUGAUGACGUAGGAAGAAUAAUUAAAAUAAGUCAUUACAAAAGAACAGUGUGACAGUAUAAUACUGGUAACACUGAAAAAAUACAUAACUUAAUGUACUUCCCCCAUAGAAAUCUGUCCUGGAUACGUUCCGGAAAAACAUAGAUACUAGAGGUGUAGUUCGAGAACGUUUCGCUACCUGAAGAGAUUCUGUCUUCUCUUCGUUCGUUGGCUGACUAUAUUCGUGCCAGUGUUCUUAUAAAAUGAACGAUCUCGUAGGUGAAUAAUCACAGUAACUAAACGUAAACAAUUAAAACACAAACAAUAACCCAAAUGUUCCACAAGUGGUGUAUUAAAACACGAAGCUUUAAAGAACUCCUGGGAUCGUAGCACAUCCAAAUGUAACCAAAUAUCCAUUAGGUUACGUCACUAUUUCCUAAGAGGAAAGUAGUAACAACAUGAACAGGACGAAUAAAUUUAGUAUUUAAUUUAGACAAUUGAUGACAGGUCAGUCUCACAUGGGUCCUACAUUUGUUUGCCUGUAGGACGAAGUAUCUAUUGAACCGAUUUACUUCAGAUGGCUAAGACUAGGUAAAAGGACUACUUUUUGGUUGAAUCAACACCGUACACCAUAAGGGGCAGAAUCCCAGAACAAAUAUGAGAAUCGACCCUUGUGAAUCUUACUAUGUAUCAAUAACGUCGUAAAAUGGGUUUUGUCAGAACAUCUCGUCAACAGUUAUCUAUAAAGCGACUUCCUCAAAACAAAAGGAUGCUUGAUUGAAUAAGAGAACAGGAAGAUCCAUAUGGGCUGCAGCCACGCGAGCUGGCCCCAACCUUAGCGCUGACGGUACCCGUCUCAACCACCUUAAUAAACGGGGGAACAUCGGCAACCUUACGACUCUUCGACGGUAGUCUACCUUCGGUAGUAACACAAACUCCACCACAAUAAGGAACGACGUUAACGGACGUACGAGAAGGGAAAACUCUGGUUCCCGGCGCGUUACUUGACUACUACCAGUACCACAUUUGUUCGUUUUUGUGAACCUGGUAUUUUAAGCAGUACGACGAUACGCACUUACAAAUAUAUGUUUGACAAUAUACAGAUCAUAAAAUCACCUGUACUGCUACUUCUAAGGAGCUUUAAGUAAAGCCCCAAAGCCUACAAUAACCUGUAGUAAAACAUUUCAGGAGUGAGGAACUCUGACAUUCAUCCUCAUACCAUACCAUACAUACAUAUUUAAGAAACUUGCACUAAUUCACAGACGUUGUCCGUAAAGAUGGUCAUUGAAAACGACUUAAGAGUACAACUAAACCAGGGGUCAGCUUCAAUCUCAACGUUCAACAUUGGGGAACACACACCAAUACCUUAACAAUCCAACGAACGUAGUAUGUACCAACAAUUUGAUCUGAACGUAAAAUCACUUGGAAUAUUAAUGUAUAAAAACGAUUUUUCGAUCUAACUUUAUUUUAGAGAAUGAUCGCCAG